RNAcentral lists this long non-coding RNA (10411 nucleotides) under Selaginella moellendorffii. RNAcentral describes it as "long non-coding RNA (SMOE_LNC002440)". The record is from RNAcentral. Lineage: Eukaryota; Viridiplantae; Streptophyta; Lycopodiopsida; Selaginellales; Selaginellaceae.
CUGUGCCUGGUGCGAUCCUAAAAUCCCCUGUCACGAGAAGAAAGAAAUCCUUGUUGCGAUUCACGGAGCUGAUGUAGGCGCAGGCCGGAGUGUCACCUUCCACGCUCCCAUCGAGGACUUUCUCGCCCUCGCCACAAUGAGCAAACGCAGUGAUCCCUUUAUGCAGCAUUGUAAUGGGCUAAAGGUGAUACUGUAGUUAAGUGAGGUCCAUGAUCUUUCAAGGGAAAGACCAAAACUACACCUUGCCAACUCACCCAAGCCCUCUCUAACCCUCAAGCAUGUGUUAGAAGGGACUUUUGGCAAGAUGACAAAGUAUCUCCUUUAGCCUACUUUGAGAGGAUUUCGGGAUUUACCUGGACGUAUUUGAGUGUGCUGCAUAUAAUAAUCAAGUGGCUGGACAUGAGAAGGUUCUGUAUGGCUCUAUCAGGAGAGGCACAGAGAAUGUUUGUUUCAUGCUGUGCACGAGAUCAGAUUGUUUGGUGGGAUGAAGCAGCGGACUCGAUUUCCAGGCUGUUGUGAUGUUCAAUUAAGAUUGCAUUAUCGAGAUUGAAAUCACAAGAACAUGGAAAGAACUGGACGUGUCUCUCAGCGUGGUGCGUGUGUCGUCCGGGAAUUAAUCUUGUGAUGUUUGCUCAAGGCGAUGCAGCCUUGAUUGUUGCAGUAGAUUGGUGUUGGGCCGGGUGUCGUUGAGGAGGCGGCAAAGCCAGAUGGCCUCUUUGCAUGCGGAACUAGCCUCCGCCUCACAGCCGGAGCAGGCAAGGACGCUCUGCUUCUUGCUGCCAACUGCAUUGUGAAGGCUAAACAAUUUAGCCAAAGCCAGCCCAGUAAGCUUGACUUGUGGCCUUAAGACCGUAAGAAAACGUAUCUCGGAAGUACCAAAAGACUCGUUUAAGUGCUUGCCAAUGUUGAGGUCCAGGAUUGUCAAGGGUUCUUGCACAAAGUGGAAUUCGAAUGGAUUAGCGCACCUUCCAUGGCGUCCAUAUCCCCUCUAUAACUAGAAAAAAAACACACUCCAACAAGCGAACGAAGCAUUUUCCUAGGCUAUGGCAUUGAACACAAGGCUUACAAGGUCUACAAUCCUGUCUCCAAGGCGCUGAUCAUCUCACCAAACGUGCAUUCCAAUGAGACUCCAUCACGUCAAGUGGGAGAAAAUCUGCCUUUGCCAGUGCUGCCCAAUACCCAAUCCGAACGACCUGCGAAUCUUCAAGACUCACUGCAGCCGCUCCUCUUUGCAGAUCUUCUCGCCAGAACAAGGGCAAGCCACCACCACGGCUGAUUGCUCGCAGCUGUACAAGACAUCCCUGAAAGUCUUGUGGAGACAUUACUUGCUGGAGUGGAACUUCUGGGAAUUCCACGCAGCUCUCAAGUCAAGGAAAAAUGGAAAGUUGCCUUUAUCAUUCCCCUUCACCUUGGUGAGACAAGCGCCUCCUGGACGCAAGCUGGGUAAAUUGAUGUGUGACUGUAAUGGGAGGGAGCGGAGGUGGGGAAGAAUGGGGAAAGGAGUGGAGGUGGAGGAUUUGGAGGAGAAUUCGCCGCCAGAUGGAAAGAGCCUUGCAUGACGUGUCAGCCACGUGGCUGUCCGCCACUUCAAUUAUCGUGGCAGCACCCGGAAGGGCCGGGAGCUGGCGUGGGCUGACCCUGGGUGAGCAUUCUCCGGGAGGUUCUUUCGAGAAGAGUGUGGAUCUUUUUAACAACAGGAAAGUGCAAUUCGGAAUUGAAAAGCUCGCCCUGCUGGCUCAUCACCGAAAACGAGCCCGGCCUGCAACAUUCGAUGUUGCCGCUGAUCAUGAUCACCAAUGCGAUGGCAAGAAGUAUCUUUCCACGAUUCAUUCCAGCCACAAAAGCACUAAACAUAGUGAUGAUAUCGUUGUAUAAGAACCAAGAGCCGUGCUUGCUCCGAUACAAUUGGAUCCAAUGGGCCUCCACUGUUUUAUAUUCACACAAACAGCACCGGGCUUGGUAAACAGUCAAGUCCUUUGCGCGUGCCAUCUGUCAAAAUAAGAAUCGUUAGCUUCCAAGCCAGAACACUAUAUGGGCAGUUUUUCAAAGUCCUGCACAAAAGACAGCUCGCCAUUUGAAGUCUAUAAGCUCUUGGUAGCAAAUUACCUGUUCCGUGUAUGUCGGAUUUCAAGGCAGCCUUGGCGCAACUUUGCGUGGGCCAAGAGCAUGACCUGACCACGCAAAUCUACAAAAGACGCUAGAUUUGCAUCAUGCAGCCAAGGAGCAACUUAGAAAUCUAUCACGAAAAAGAAAAUAAAAUCUUAGAACUUUCUAAGACAACACCCUUUCUAAGAAUGUCCUUUAGACUAGUCUGAAACCCCACCGCAUUCGCACUUUUCAAUGUUGUCCAGCGCGAACUGAGCCGGAUAAACGUGGUAGCACGGCUCCAUCGUCUCCCUCACUGAGCAAACCACGCUCUGGUCGCACACGAACUGUACGGGCCUCACGCCCGCCAGCCCCGCCGCCGAGUAGCCAAACGUGGAUGGCGGGCUCGUCACCAGGACAUCGCUCAUCGACAGCAAGUAGAUCUCCAUCACCGCCUGUGCGUCGUGAUCCAAGUUCCCCGUGUUUUGCACGCCCUCCACGCUCGGCUGGUGGAUGGACACCGAGGAACCGUCCGCUAGAUCGUAUCCCAGCACCUUGCUCUUGAGCGUCUCCGAGUACUGCGAGUUGAGUGACACCACCAGCACCGCCACCUUCUUGCUGUUCUUCCUCACCGACGAUCUGGGAGCUCGCUCCUUGGGUGGUGUUUGUGAGCGCGCCUUCCACCAGGCAGUCGAAUGUAUCCUCGGCGAGGUUGGGUGGCGAGAACCAGAUGUGGUUUCGCAGCUGGACCCCGACUAGAAGCUCGGCCUGCCUGGGCCACGUACGCGUCGUAGUACCUGGCCGCCUUGUCCCACACGAAGUCACUGGGAAGCAACAGGUACCUCACCAGGAGAUGGAAGAUGGCCUCCUGCUGUGGGAACCAUUCCUCGAGCUUGCUCCCUGAAAGCCGGGACAUUGUAGAGCGCCGGAGUGAUGUACUGGCCGGAGGAGAGGACGAUCCACCGCGCGCUGGAGUUGAGAGCUUGCUGUUGAUCUUGGCAGAAGAAGGCCUUGUCCUGGUCCCUGUAGUUGUAAUCGAGAUAGGCCACCACCACCUCGGGGAAGCUCACGUCGACGCCGCGGCUGCAGUUGGGCGAUCCCGCCAGGCUUCCAAUCCACUUGGAGGCGUCCCACGGCGCCAACUCGAGGUGCUUCCAGCUCGACGGCAGCAGCCAGGAGCUGGGUGGAAACGGCUCGCAGAAGAGCGUGUCCAGGUUCUCCAACCUCGCGAUCAGCAUCGUCCUGUCGGUGAGCAGCGCGUAGAGAAACGCUGCUACUGUAGCCACCAUCUUGUUGCCGAUCCCCUGGUUGGCGGGAACGUAGACGAGGUAGCUGCAUGUACUAUAGUUCGCGCACUGCUCGGGCCCCGGAGCGCACCUCCCGUGCAAAGCCUCGUACUCUAGGAUUUUCCGUUGGAGCGACUCGGAUGGCUCGAAGCUCGCCGAUCUUCGGCGGCUGUAGAAGUCGUACUCGUUCCUACUCCUGCAAGAGUCGCUGCCGUUGUAGCUUGUGGUGUUGUUGCUGAUGCGGAAGUUUGAUCCCAGAGUUCGGCUCCGGGACAUCAUUGCGGAGUCGGAAUUUACGUCGAGAAUCCAUACGAGUAGCAGUGCCGCAGCGGAGAAGAGGAGCACGAAGAACAGCAAGCUCGGGCUGUAAGUUUUCAUCCUCCGAUCCUGGAAAGUUUUUCUUCGCCGCCUACCGAACUCCAAAGCCUCAAUGCAAAAAAUUCCUCUUAGUUGGUGAUGGUGAUUACCAACCUGGAGAUCAGAAAGAAUUAAGAUUUGAGCAACUAAGAAACAAUUCCGUGGCUCACCAUGUGGACGGGACACGUGACCAAAUACUCGAGACAAAGAAGGAAGUCACGGCUCCAGCCAAUUGGCUUGUCGCCACCUUCCUCACCAUCUUUCUGGUGGAGUCUCACGGUACUGGGAUGAGAGUGGUAUCCAAGGAUCCUCCACAUGAGCUUGCCUGGAGCUGUCCUUCAAACUGUUCUCCGUGAGCUCUUUGUUGCUAUUCGACCGUAACAGGGUUUCCACCACUUAGUCCUUCAGAACCAUCCCCUUCAACCGGUUCUCCGAGAGAUCCGAGCAAACUCAAAGAGUCUGCCCAAGCUGAGAGACAUGAUAGGGCCCACACGAGCUCCUCCCAAACGUUGUUCGAGCACUUCCAAGCCCGCACACCCAUUUGGAUGGCUGAGAGAUGUAGAGCCGAGAAUGACAUUCCGGAGAUUGCUGCUGGACGGGGGAGUGAGACUGUUGAAGAGCUCCUGGAGAGCCACGCAGUUGCGAAAGAUCCCAUCGUGCCAAAGGCCUAGCAGCUCGAUGUACCCCCGAGAAGGACGAGCCAGAGAUCAUGUUGCCGGCUCGUGAUCGUCCAGCUGAACUGAUUCCCUGACAUGUCUAACACCCUGAGCAGUUCCCUCUAAACAGAAGAGAUACCUGUCCUGUCCGGAGUUCAAUCUCCAGUGAGGCUAGAACUUCCACGCUGUGAAGCUUCUGAUGGAACAAAACCUUGAUUUCUUAAAGGAAGAUUCAGCAGCAGCUACGUGCGAUUUAAACCAGUUUCUAAUGAAGGCUAGACACCAAAGACACGAAGAUGAGCCGUUUGAAUAAAAUCAAAAAGGUGUCAUACCUCAAUUAGCGUAAGAACCGGAAAUACCGCGGCCUGAGCAAUUUACACUGGCCUCCGCAAAAACUGCUUGAAAAGUUUACCCUUCGCGACUCAAAUAUCACGUCACAAACGCCACAACAGCUUUCCACCGCUCCAAUUCAUUCUCGCCUUUGCAGCCCCCCUAGCAAACGGGCUGUCCAAACGCUCGGCCUACGUCCCAGCUACAUGCCUGUAAAGUGAAGAGAAUAUUAGCAAUCUUAACAGCGAGAGUUCACCUUGAAGUUGACUUGGUCAGAUUUUUUAAGAACUUCGAUUAUGUCGUUGUUGAAGAGAUUGUCAAAAAGGCCAUCAGUUCCCAAAACAAUGAUGUCCCCCUUGCAGACAGGGAUCUUGAAUUCCUGUAAACGGAAAAUUAGCGAAGUUAAGGGAAAAGCAAGAGUACCUCUGCAACCGUCGGAUGGUCACCAAAUGUUCCAACUUGAAACGGAAAGUUAAAACUAUGCUGCAUGGGCUCCGAGCUUGCAACUACUUGCCAAUUGCGAACUAUGAUGAACCCAAGUCUCCCAAGUUUGCUGCGUACAUGUCUGAAAUAUAUGACCCGACUCAGCCUCAAACAUCAAAUCCGACUAGCUUACUUGCUCAAACAAUGCAGCCACAAGGACCGUUGCUGAUCCCUGGGCCUUUGUACUGCCGGCGGCUUUGACAAGCACGUCCUUGGGGUCCGGUUUCCCUUUGCUGUUUACAACCAAUGCCUUACAGUGUCCCAUAAGCUCCCGAGAAUACAUCCCCGAAUCAAUGCCUGAAAACCAGUAAAAACUCUUUUGAAGAAACAGACUCAAAGAAAGAUUUGUCUUACCUUCUCCGGCCCAGCCCCCAGAACCAUCAGCAACACCCAUCCAGGAGCCUUCUGUGACGAAGGCAUCUUCACCCCCUCUUUGAGCCUGUAAACAGCAAAGCUUAGAAGAUCUACAAAAAUUAGCAAGUAAGCUUUGCACCUUCUCAGGAUGGGGACGCAUCGCCGCAGCAUAGUCGAGUCGAAGCAACCUUAAAAGCAAGAACACCAUGAAUUUCACCAAUAGCCACGCGAAACGUAAACAAGCUCACUGGCUGGUAGAAUCCGUUUCAGCAUUCUGGCACCCUUGCAAGCUUAAGACUUCAGUAUAUAGAGAAGGAAAGAAAAAUUGCAAACCUCUUCGCCAUUUUUGCAAGCCGAGUUGUGUGUCUUGGCCGGUUGUGGGAGGGAAACAGCCGAUUCAUCGAAAGUAACAUGCGUUGUCUCUUCGGGCGCUUCAAGAGAUAGAGAGAUCAGCAACACGUCACCAAAAAUUCCAAGCUACAUUCUUACCUCGCGUACUUAAAGAAGGAGAGGACGUUGCUCGUUGUGAGCCAUGAUCUGCGGUAAACUUGCGUGAUUAGUGCUUGGAUCUUAUUUUCUUUCCUCGCAGAGAGUUGAUUCCACUGGUGGACAAGGCAUGGGUUAUGGAUAUGGGUGGGACUUUGGUUGAGCAGCUAAAUUCUACUCUCUAGUUCGUGGAAUGUUACUCUUAAGAUAAAACUAUACACUGACCGAUCAAACCAGUGAGACUGGCUGGGCAAUUAAACGUUUUUAACAUUGCAACGGACUUCGCAGGCUCAACUAACAACAGCGGAAGGGCUCCUGGAACCAGGCAGCAGCGGAGGACAUCCACAUGACUAAUGGCGCCUCCCAACUCUACAUUGUUAACAGCACUACACAAUUGGGCACCAUAGAUGGAACAGGAGUAGUACAAACGAUUACAUUUUGGUCAGCCAAACUAUUCUUUAAUAAUGUGGUGUACUGUUUAGAUGGCGGGGAAUUCCAAGAGUUCUUGACCGCCUCAUGUCUGACUAGGAUGCAUAUGCUGCUUACAACACUCCUAUCAACAACCAGAACUCACUGUGGUCACGACUAAGUCAUGCCAGCAUGGGUGCCCGACUUUGCCCAACAAGUCCAAGAGCUUUAGAAUGCACUGCCCACGACCACUGAUACUGAGGUCAGCUGACUGAUUGACAUGCUCACACAGCAGCACAGGAGUAUUUUCUCAGUUCACUCCCACCACCCCAACUGAAUGCUUUCCUAGAUUGCAAUGGUGGGACAAAUUAUAAAACUUUUUAAUAUCAUAAGUUUAUUGCAUUAAACUAAUUAAUAAAGUGGCAGCAAUAAACAUUCUAUUUUGCCCAUGACAAUGAUGCAAGCAAUAAUCACAAUGACUAUAACUAUGUAUGUCUCAUGACUAUGUGAGCAACUAUCCUUUUACACAGUUGUCUGCAAAAUUGAUAACCUACAUAGACGUACCUUUGGUCGAUAUACCCAUAGUUUAUUUGUAUCAGCAAUGGACCUACACAAUCCAUAAUAAUUCCGUUAAAACUCCACACAUAAAAAGUCUCUGGUAGAAGAACAAAGCAAUUUAGUGUCAAGUUUUUAAAACCGUGUAAAACUCGAGUUUCAUUCUGACCAUCAAAACCAAGGUCGUCAUCAUCUACACACAUAAAAGAUGAAUUUGACAGCUCUAGACAAGCCCGGUAAAAGAAAACUUCUGAGACGACUUGGCAGCAAACAAAUCAGAUUGUGUUACGCGGACAGCAAGAGUAAAAAAUGAAAUAGAAGGGAAGAAAAGACCGUGUACCUAAAAUCGUGCACGAUUCACGACGAAGUCAUCCAAAGGACCUCGCCUUCCCUCCUCCGGCUAUAAAAUGCCUGCCCCUCCCUCAUAUAGCUCCAUCAGUCUUUUCCAAGCUCGCAAGAUGGCUCAUCUUCGUUUUGUUCUAUCCUUCCUCCUAGCAAUCAGCUCCAUCUUGUUUGUGCAUGCCGCGGAUGAAGAUAUGCUGCAGGACUUUUGCGUUGCGGACAAUGGCUCCAAGAUCAAAGUGAACGGCGUGGUCUGCAAGGCGGCCGCCGAUGUGAAAGCCGAGGACUUCAAGUCGAGCCUGCUGGCGACUCCCGGGAACACCGACAACAAGCUCGGCUCCAACGUCACGCUGGCGAGUGUCAACAAUUUCCCCGGUCUCAACACCUUUGGUGUAGCUUUUGCCCGCGUCGACUAUGCUCCCGGCGGCACCAAUCCCCCCCACGUCCAUCCCCGAGGAUCCGAGCUGCUCUUCCUCGUGCACGGGAACCUCUUAGUCGGAUUCGUCACCACCUUGCCGGACAACAAGCUCUUCGCCCAAAUGCUCUAUCCUGGAGAUCUGUUCGUCUUCCCUCGGGGACUCGUCCACUUUCAGCUUAACGUUGGAAAGGAGCCUGCGGUUGCGAUGGCUGGCUUCAACAGCCAAAACCCCGGGGCGACUCAGGUGGCCAAGGCGGUGUUUGAUUCCAAUCCUCCAAUCAACGACGACGUGAUCGCGAAAGCGUUCCAGAUUGACGACCGUGGUCUCAUCCAGAAGUUGAGAGAGCUCAUCGGCAUGACUUGAAAGUUUCUCCAAAGGUUGCGAGGCUGACUUGACUAAGUUACAUAUAUAAAUAAAUUAUUUUUCCAAAGCUCUUACCUUUCGAUAGUGGAAACUUUCAUAAGCACAGCUAGAUAGAAUAAAAAACAAACACAUCGCUUUCCCGCCAAUUUCCAUUUUAAACACGCUCCUGGAGCGAUUUGCCAGGACAUACGUCGAUCCAAUGCCCGAAAUAUAUCGUAAUGCGAUCGGCAAGAUGCCACCAAAACCCUACAAACCAGAGCAUCCGGCACAAACGGCAUGGCACGCAGCAAUUCCUCGGCAUUCUCCAGUUUCCUGCCACGGCCGAAGAUAUCGAUCAUGCAGACCCUGCCUGGCGCGAUCAUAAAAUCCCCUGUCACGAGAAGAAAGAAAUCCUUGUUGCGAUUCACGGAGCUGAUGUAGGCGCAGGCCGGAGUGUCACCUUUCCCAUUGCGCCCUCGCCACAAUGAGCAAACGCAGUGAUCCCUUUAUGCAGCAUUGUAAUGGGCUAAAGGUGACACUGUAGUGAAGUGAGGUCCAUGAUCUUUCAAGGGAAAGACCAAAACUACACCUUGCCAACUCACCCGAGCCCUCUCUAACCCUCAAGCAUGUGUUAGAAGGGGCUUUUGGCAAGAUGAGAAAGUAUCUCCUUUAGCCUACUUUGAGAGGAUUUCGAGAUUUACCUGGUAUUUGAGUGUGCUGCAUAUAAUAAUCAAGUGGCUGGACAUGAGAAGGUUCUGUAUGGCUCUAUCAGGAGAGGCACAGAGAAUGUUCGUUUCAUGCUGUGCACGAGAUCAGAUUGUUUGGUGGGAUGAAGCAGUGGACUCGAUUUCCAGGCUGUUGUGAUGUUCAAUUAAGAUUGUAUUAUCGAGAUUGGAAUCACAAGAACAUGGAAAGAACUGGACGUGUCUCCCAGCGUGGUGCGUGUUUCGUCCGGGAAUUAAUCUUGUGAUGUUUGCUCGAGGCGAUGUAGAGUAGAUUGGUGUUGGGCCGGGUGUCGUUGAGGAGGCGGCAAAGCCAGAUGGCCUCUUUGCAUGCGGAACUAGCCUCCGCCUCACAGCUGGAGCAGGCAACGACGCUCUUCUUCUUGCUGCUAACUGCAUUGUGAAGGCUAAACAAUUUAGCCAAAGCCAGCCCAGUAAGCUUGACUCGUGGCCUUAAGACCGUAAGAAAACGUAUCUCGGAAGGACCAAAAGACGCGUUUAAGUGCUUGCCAAUGUUGAGGUCCAGGAUUGUCAAGGGUUCUUGCACAAAGUGGAAUUCGAAUGGAUUAGCGCACCUUCAUGGCGUCCAUAUCCCCUCUAUAACUAGAAAAAAAACACACUCCAACAAGCGAACGAGGCACUUUCCUAGGCUAUGGCAUUGAACACAAGGCUUACAAGGUCUACAAUCCUGUCUCCAAGGCGCUGAUCAUCUCACCAGACGUGCAUUCCAAUGAGACUCCAUCACGUCAAGUGGGACAAAAUCUGCCUUUGCCAGUGCUGCCCAAUGCCCAAUCCGAACGACCUGCGAAUCUUCAAGACUCACUGCAGCCGCUCCUCUUUGCAGAUCUUCUCGCCAGAACAAGGGCAAGCCACCACCACGGCUGAUUGCUCGCAGCUGUACAAGACAUCCCUGAAAGUCUUGUGGAGACUUUACUUGUUGGAGUGGAACUCCUGGGAAUUCCACGCAGCUCUCAAGUCAAGGAAAAAUGAAAAGUUGCCUUUAUCAUUCCCCUUCACCUUGGUGAGACAAGCGCCUCAUGGACGCAAGCUGGGUAAAUUGAAGGGAGCGGAGGUGGGGAAGAAUGGGGAAAGGAGUGGAGGCGGAGGAUUUGGAGGAGAAUUUGCCCCCAGAUGGUGUCCCCAGAGUGACGUGUCAGCCACGUGGCUGUCCGCCCCUUCAAUUAGCCAAAUAAUGGUGGUAUUGAAAUGACAAAAUCGUUUUAGGAAAAUGCUAUGGUUGGUGGCGGCAGCACCCGGAAGGGCCGGAGGAUGGCGUGGGCUGACCCUGGGGGAGCAUUCUCCGGAAGGUCCUUUCGAAAAGAGUGUGGAUCUUGUUAACAACAGGAAGGCGCAAUUCGGAAUUGAAAAGCUCGGCCUGCUGGCUCAUCGCCGAAAACGAGCCCGGCCUGGAACAAUCGAUGUUGCUGCUGAUCAUGAUCACCAAUGCGAUGGCAAGAAGUAUCCUUCCACGAUCCAUUCCAGCCACAAAGCACUAAACGUAGUGAUGAUAUCGUUGUAUAAGAACCAAGAGCUGUGCUUGCUCCGAUACGAUUGGAUCCAAUGGGCCUCCAGUGUUUUAUAUUCAC